RNAcentral lists this ribosomal RNA (588 nucleotides) under uncultured Gallionella sp. RNAcentral describes it as "bacterial SSU rRNA". It matches the Rfam family "Bacterial small subunit ribosomal RNA", at positions 335 to 916 of the family's 1533-position model. The record is from RNAcentral. Lineage: Bacteria; Pseudomonadati; Pseudomonadota; Betaproteobacteria; Nitrosomonadales; Gallionellaceae.
ACUCCUACGGGAGGCAGCAGUGGGGAAUUUUGGACAAUGGGCGAAAGCCUGAUCCAGCCAUACCGCGUGAGUGAAGAAGGCCUUCGGGUUGUAAAGCUCUUUCAGCCGGAAAGAAAUUGCUUCUAUUAAUACUAGGAGUAGAUGACGGUACCGGAAGAAGAAGCACCGGCUAACUACGUGCCAGCAGCCGCGGUAAUACGUAGGGUGCGAGCGUUAAUCGGAAUUACUGGGCGUAAAGCGUGCGCAGGCGGUUUUUUAAGCCAGAUGUGAAAUCCCCGGGCUCAACCUGGGAACUGCAUUUGGAACUGGAAGACUAGAGUGUAGCAGAGGGGGGUAGAAUUCCACGUGUAGCAGUGAAAUGCGUAGAUAUGUGGAGGAAURSSRRUGGCGAAGGCAGCCCCCUGGGUUAACACUGACGCUCAUGCACGAAAGCGUGGGGAGCAAACAGGAUUAGAUACCCUGGUAGUCCACGCCCUAAACGAUGUCAACUAGUUGUCGGGGGAGAGAUUCCUUGGUAACGCAGCUAACGCGUGAAGUUGACCGCCUGGGGAGUACGGUCGCAAGAUUAAAACUCAAAGGAAUUGACGG